CCUGCUCUACAUUUUACUAAAAUAUAUUUGCAGUUUUUAUUUUAGACAAACUGCAUUUGUUAAAGCACAAUUAAAGUCUAAAUUUAAUCAAAUGUUCAAAUAUCGGAGCUAACUUAUCAUCGUGCGAUCUCUGUGCAGGCUGUGUGAGGCCAGAUGAGAGCAGUGCGGAGUGGCUGAUGAAGAACUUUGGUGCCUUCAGUGUCAUGGCCCGCAUGAAGGACUUUUCAGCGCUCAACGUGGUCUUCAGUGGAGUGAGUUAAACUGAGCCUUAUUUAAGAUUUUAGACAUUAUAAACUCCUGUUUUUAUGGUGAUCUAGACACUACUGAGAACUCCACCACACUGAGUAUCACUGCUCCACUUCCUGUUCUUCUUCUCUUACUCCUUUUUUUUUUCUUUCAACCACAGCUGGAGGUUCUUAACUUGUUGUCUCCAGCACAAAAGGCCGAGCUGCUCAUGAGCCCUGAGGUUGCCAAUUUAGACAAUGGCACAUUAGCUCUGGUCUUCCACAGUCUGCUAACAGGGGAAUCUGGCCCAUCACCCACUGAUGGCCCGGGAUGGGGUCCCAAAUGGACAACCCCUGGGUACCCACCCUCCUAUCCAGUACAGCUGUCACAUAACCAUCAGCCAGGCCUCCAACAGGUACAGUAACAGGAUGUGCAUCCACCUGCAAAAAUAAUUAAAUAUGUUUUCAUCUCUAGAAAAAAUAUUAAUAAAAGAGUUCAAUUGUGUAAAAUCUAACAACCUCUGCUUCAUUGCACAUCCAGGUCGUGAAUGGAUUCAUGUCAGCCUUCAAACCCAUCGGGAGCUUUGUUCAUAAUUUUGUGUCCUUCACACGUGAGAGAGAUGCGUCAAAUAUAAAAAGCACCACUUUGACCCAGUUCCUGCUCAACUGGACUCUGUCUGAGCUGGCUGGCAAAUACCGGCAGCCAAAUGCAUCUGUGGUCCCAGAGGGACCUCAGUUUGAUGUGACAAAUGUGGCAGACUGGUAUGAUUAUGUUGUGAAGCCGCUGUUACGGAGGUUUUUGCCCAAUGAAGAACUCCUGAUGCAUGAAAACAUCACGCUCGCUUUCCACGAAGUGUUCCGUCUGGACAACGGUAUGGACAACAUGACGGUGAAUGAAAUCCAGGAUGUCUGUAGCAUCACCCUUGAUAAGAGCCCUUGCGGGGUAAGGUCCAAUUUUCUUUUAUUUAUCUUUGAUUAUUAA
Molecule: long non-coding RNA, 1206 nt
Filed under: Oreochromis niloticus (Nile tilapia)
Lineage: Eukaryota; Metazoa; Chordata; Actinopteri; Cichliformes; Cichlidae
Description: lncRNA (ENSONIG00000034571.1)
Source: RNAcentral